RNAcentral lists this ribosomal RNA (654 nucleotides) under uncultured Amycolatopsis sp. Its description in RNAcentral is "bacterial SSU rRNA". It matches the Rfam family "Bacterial small subunit ribosomal RNA", at positions 95 to 751 of the family's 1533-position model. Lineage: Bacteria; Bacillati; Actinomycetota; Actinomycetes; Pseudonocardiales; Pseudonocardiaceae. The record is from RNAcentral.
GUGGCGAACGGGUGAGUAACACGUGGGUAAUCUGCCCUGUACUCUGGGAUAAGCCUGGGAAACUGGGUCUAAUACCGGAUAUGACCUUUCACCGCAUGGUGGGGGGUGGAAAGUUCCGGCGGUAUGGGAUGAACCCGCGGCCUAUCAGCUUGUUGGUGGGGUAAUGGCCUACCAAGGCGACGACGGGUAGCCGGCCUGAGAGGGUGACCGGCCACACUGGGACUGAGACACGGCCCAGACUCCUACGGGAGGCAGCAGUGGGGAAUAUUGCACAAUGGGCGCAAGCCUGAUGCAGCGACGCCGCGUGGGGGAGGAAGGCCUUCGGGUUGUAAACCCCUGUUGCCCGGGACGAAUGUGCAUUUUUGAAUGCAUUGACGGUACCGGGUGAGGAAGCACCGGCUAACUCCGUGCCAGCAGCCGCGGUAAUACGUAGGGUGCGAGCGUUGUCCGGAAUUAUUGGGCGUAAAGAGCUCGUAGGCGGUUUGUCGCGUCGGCUGUGAAAUCUGGAGGCUUAACCUUCAGCGUGCAGUCGAUACGGGCAGACUUGAGUUCGGCAGGGGAGACUGGAAUUCCUGGUGUAGCGGUGAAAUGCGCAGAUAUCAGGAGGAACACCGGUGGCGAAGGCGGGUCUCUGGGCCGAUACUGACGCUGAGG